CCCCAGACUCCUACGGGAGGCAGCAGUGGGGAAUAUUGCACAAUGGGGGAAACCCUGAUGCAGCGACGCCGCGUGAGUGAAGAAGUAUUUCGGUAUGUAAAGCUCUAUCAGCAGGGAAGAUAAUGACGGUACCUGACUAAGAAGCCCCGGCUAACUACGUGCCAGCAGCCGCGGUAAUACGUAGGGGGCAAGCGUUAUCCGGAUUUACUGGGUGUAAAGGGUGCGUAGGUGGCAUGGCAAGUCAGAAGUGAAAGCCCGGGGCUCAACCCCGCGGACUGCUUUUGAAACUGUCAGGCUGGAGUACAGGAGAGGUAAGCGGAAUUCCUAGUGUAGCGGUGAGAUGCGUAGAUAUUAGGAGGAACACCGGUGGCGAAGGCGGCCUGCUGGACGGCGACUGACGUUGAGGCUCGAAAGCGUGGGGAGCGAACAGGAUUAGAUACCCUAGUA
Molecule: ribosomal RNA, 447 nt
Filed under: uncultured bacterium
Lineage: Bacteria
Description: bacterial SSU rRNA
Rfam family: Bacterial small subunit ribosomal RNA
Source: RNAcentral